This 68-nucleotide transfer RNA is filed under the name Chaceon granulatus. RNAcentral describes it as "tRNA-Trp". Lineage: Eukaryota; Metazoa; Arthropoda; Malacostraca; Decapoda; Geryonidae. RNAcentral also lists the same sequence under 1 other name. The record is from RNAcentral.
AGGACUUUAAGUUAUCUAAACUGAAGGCCUUCAAAGCCUUAAAAAAAAGUAAAUCCUUUUAAGCCCUA